RNAcentral lists this ribosomal RNA (527 nucleotides) under uncultured bacterium. RNAcentral's name for it is "bacterial SSU rRNA". It matches the Rfam family "Bacterial small subunit ribosomal RNA", at positions 355 to 899 of the family's 1533-position model. The record is from RNAcentral.
UGGGGAAUCUUGGACAAUGGGGGCAACCCUGAUCCAGCCAUGCCGCGUGAGUGAUGAAGGCCUUAGGGUCGUAAAGCUCUUUCGCCUGUGAAGAUAAUGACGGUAGCAGGUAAAGAAACCCCGGCUAACUCCGUGCCAGCAGCCGCGGUAAUACGGAGGGGGUUAGCGUUGUUCGGAAUUACUGGGCGUAAAGCGCACGUAGGCGGACCAGAAAGUUGGGGGUGAAAUCCCGGGGGCUCAACCCCGGAACUGCCUCCAAAACUAUUGGUCUAGAGUUCGAGAGAGGUGAGUGGAAUUCCAAGUGUAGAGGUGAAAUUCGUAGAUAUUUGGAGGAACACCAGUGGCGAAGGCGGCUCACUGGCUCGAUACUGACGCUGAGGUGCGAAAGUGUGGGGAGCAAACAGGAUUAGAUACCCUGGUAGUCCACACCGUAAAACGAUGAAUGCCAGUCGUCGGGUAGCAUGCUAUUCGGUGACACACCUAACGGAUUAAGCAUUCCGCCUGGGGAGUACGUCGCAAGAUUAAAA